CGCCACGGAACUCAGGAGGGGAGAGUCAUUUGGCACCGCUCUGCCCAGCGGGCGGCAGCCCUGGCUGCCAUGGUGGGGUUUCCGCUCUCAGAGGGACAUUGGGGGCAAGUCUGGCAGACAGAGCCCUCACCAGGACCCCUCCCACCCUUGGGACGGUGUUGAAGGGCUGCCAGGACGAGGAAAGAGAAGUGGCCCACCGUGUUACCGUCACAUUUGCCAGGACUGGAAAUUCCCAGGGCGCUGAACAGAUGCUGUGUCAGCUGAUGAGGGUUUUACAGCCACCGCAGACCCAGUUGUUAUCGGAUCAGAUGAAGUCUCACCCAAGGUGGGGCCAGUCACACCUGGGCUCCGGAGGAAGAACUGUGGAUGUCCCCGGCCCCUGCCGCUACCUCACAGGUGUGCAGCAGGCAUUGCAAGUGAUCUGAGGAGGAGCCCUUAGUGGGUCUACGGGCUGGCACCCACGGCAGAUCACUAGGGUGAUCCCAACACUGAGGAAUGAGCUACAGGAGAGGGAGGGCGUUCCCCAGGGGUCAUGGGUUGAAUUGUACGCCCUCAACAUUUAUCGAUUGAAGUCCUAACCCCCAGGACCUCAGAAUGUGACUUUAUUUGGAAAUAGGGUCUUUGCAGAUGAGGUUAUAUUGCAGUAGGAUGGGCCCUAAAUCCAAUAUAAUGGUGACCUUUUAUUUAUUAUUAUUAUUAUUAUUUUGCCGCAAAAAGCUUUAUUGUUUCCAUUUGGUCCAAUGCAAGGGAGAGGAAGACUUCAGAAUGGUUAAAAGGAUUGCUAGUGGUUUCAGGAAGAGGCUCAGGCAAAAGCCAGAUACCAGGGGAAGGCAAAAGGGGCCCUCAAAGGCCUCUGAGCUCCAAAGGCUCCUAGAUGUACCUGAGGGCAAGCCUUUCAAAGAGACACUCACCCAGCCCAGCCCAGCCUGGGGGGCGGCCACGCUGAGGAGGUGAGUCAGGUGUGGCCCAUCUUCUUGAUGAGUUUCACCUGCUCACCCAGGAGUGGUUCUCCAGGAAGUCACAGAGCUGAGGGUCUGCGCGGGCAAAACCCAGGGCCUGCAGCUCAAACAGGACCUGGUUCAGGUUCUCCCAGGCCAUGGCGGCUUCCGUGGCGUCCUGAGUUUUGCCCCAUUCGUAUUGGGACGGCUUCCGCACGUCCUGGACGAGCACUCGGCUGCUGCGCUGGUUUUGCAUCUUUAAGAGACACUCAGCACCCUCACGCUUCGCUUCGCCAACGAGGGGAAGACGUGGCCCACGCCCUCCGGAGCCACAUCGUCGAGGUGGACGUAGCAGCCCAGGGACAGGUUCUACCACCUGUUCCCCAAGCCCUGAACUGGCUGAAUUGGACCCUGUUUCUCCCAGCGUAAUCCACCCUACCUCUUCCUGGGCCAGCCCCAGCCCUGCAGCCCCCGGAACAGCAUGUUCACUACCUACGCACUUGAAAGGAGCAGUUUUCAGGAAGGGAUUAGUGAUUUUGUGUCAUUCCCCUGGACCAUAAGCAAAAGGCUGGAUCCCACGUGCUUCUCCCAAAGAAGGCCGUCACGGUAAGAGUGGAGGUGUCAUGCUAGGGAAAGGGUACUUUUAUUAUGGAAAAUUACUGACAGAAAAGUGGAGAAACUGUGACAAACCCCAGGUUCCCAUGACCCAGCUUCACC
Molecule: long non-coding RNA, 1655 nt
Organism: Myotis daubentonii (Daubenton's bat)
Lineage: Eukaryota; Metazoa; Chordata; Mammalia; Chiroptera; Vespertilionidae
Exons: 6
Source: RefSeq, a predicted model, not a curated record